Molecule: ribosomal RNA, 495 nt
Filed under: uncultured bacterium
Lineage: Bacteria
Description: partial 16S ribosomal RNA
Rfam family: Bacterial small subunit ribosomal RNA
Source: RNAcentral
GACGAACGCUGGCGGCGUGCCUAAUACAUGCAAGUAGAACGCUGAAGGAGGAGCUUGCUUCUCUGGAUGAGUUGCGAACGGGUGAGUAACGCGUAGGUAACCUGCCUGGUAGCGGGGGAUAACUAUUGGAAACGAUAGCUAAUACCGCAUAAGAGUAGAUGUUGCAUGACAUUUGCUUAAAAGGUGCAAUUGCAUCACUACCAGAUGGACCUGCGUUGUAUUAGCUAGUUGGUGAGGUAACGGCUCACCAAGGCAACGAUACAUAGCCGACCUGAGAGGGUGAUCGGCCACACUGGGACUGAGACACGGCCCAGACUCCUACGGGAGGCAGCAGUAGGGAAUCUUCGGCAAUGGACGGAAGUCUGACCGAGCAACGCCGCGUGAGUGAAGAAGGUUGUCGGAUCGUAAAGCUCUGUUGUAAGAGAAGAACGAGUGUGAGAGUGGAAAGUUCACACUGUGACGGUAUCUGACCAGAAAGGGACGGCUAACUACGUG